GGAUGUGAGGGCGAUCUGGCUGCGACAUCUGUCACCUCAUUGAUCACCAGGGUUGAUGCAGCUGAUCUGGCUGGCUAGACGGCAGGGGGGGGGUCCCCUUCCUCCCUCACCGCUCCAUGUGCGUCCCUCCCGAAGCUGCGCUCUCGGUCGGUCGAAGAUGAUGGACUUCCCCGAAUAGAGACGGACCCCUGCUAGAACC
Molecule: small nuclear RNA, 199 nt
Filed under: Erinaceus europaeus (western European hedgehog)
Lineage: Eukaryota; Metazoa; Chordata; Mammalia; Eulipotyphla; Erinaceidae
Description: 7SK RNA
Rfam family: 7SK RNA
About the family: 7SK was discovered as an abundant small nuclear RNA in the mid-70s but a possible function has only recently been suggested. Two independent studies have found that 7SK RNA binds the CDK9/cyclin T complex (known as elongation factor P-TEFb).
Source: Rfam by way of RNAcentral